Molecule: long non-coding RNA, 3873 nt
Organism: Acinonyx jubatus (cheetah)
Lineage: Eukaryota; Metazoa; Chordata; Mammalia; Carnivora; Felidae
Exons: 3
Source: RefSeq, a predicted model, not a curated record
CUAGGCUCUCUGCAUUCUCUAUUACCCAGUUUAUCUUUUGUUCAUUUAAUGCAUCGCAAACAACAUUGAAUUAGUUUGUUGGACAAUUAGGUAAGAUAUUAAACUAAAGAUGUACAUAUAAAUAUGUCAAGUGAUUAUUUUAAGAAUACAUCUGUAAGGAGUAACUGGAGAAGGCACUUUGUGAAGGUUUUUUUCCCUCCCUGCUUUCUCUAACAGUUCAACAACUCCCAACUUUUAUAAAUAGUACACCUUUUUCUAAAGUGUAGACAGCAAAAAAAUUUUUCUAUAAUGAAUGCUUAAAAAAUCAUUUCCGAGGAAAUUAGGUCUUAAAAACAUCCUGGAAUAUGUCAGUUAAUUAAAUUGUUGUUUGUUAGAAUGAACAUCCCAAAUCAAACCCACUCUUGCAAAUGCUAGCCCAAGAGUGGUUUCUAGUCUCUGCAAGUCUCUUCCUUCCUCUGCUGUGGCCGCCUAAAGCCCUCCUGCAAUUUCACCACCUCCUUGACUCUCAGCACUAAUCCUGAAUAUUGCUGGGGAGGUUUGCAUGGCUGCAUCUAGAAACUGUGUUUGAUCCUGUUUACUUUGCCUCUCUCUGCUCUAAUGUCACACCUCAGUUCUGGGAAAUGUAUCUCAGUCUGUUCUGAAGUCUUAUUUGCCUGCUCCCGGGCACCCACGUUUGAUGACCAAGCUUCAGUGUGAGCCCUGUUUCUGAGGUCCUCUUUUGUUAUCUGUCAUCGCCCUUCUCAUAAAGGGAUACCCUAGUCCUAGAUCCUGGCCCAUUAGUGUGGACCCUCCUCUGUAAUAACAGACACCUCUUAUUCUAAUUUGCUGUCCUUCCUAUAAGAAUGAAUUGUCUCAUAUUCCAUCCAACUGUUUGGAAAGGCCAACAUUUCAUUUUAACGCUUUGCUGAUUUCUACUUACCUGGAGUAUAACCUAUCACUCUGUUGUCCUGGACAUGUUGCUUUGGUCUCUAUUCAUAUCUGUGAUGGGAUCCACUCACCCACAUCCUAUUCAGUGAUUGAGUCCUUUUCCAAAGUCCAGCCCUUUCUCACCUAAGCCGUAUGGCAAUAAGUAACUGGGCUUACCUGGUUUGUUAAUUCUGGAAACACUGAAUGCUUAUUGGAUAUCUGAAACUAUACUGGCUGCUGGGGAGAGGAAUAAGACGCAGUUUCGCUCUUGAAUCUCAUCCUGAAUGACAGAGAAAACAAAAAAUUGAAAUACAAUUCUUUAACUGCAGGUUCUAAGAACAUUUUUCACUGAGACAUAGUACCUUAGGUCAGACAAUUGCCCUUCCAUAAACAUUCAUUCUACUAAUGCUUGCUCAAAACCUACUGUGUGCCACCCAGAGGUCUCUUAAUGAGAACUGUGAAUCAGACCCAGACAUUCACUUUGGCCCCGAGUGCCUAGAACUGUUACCUCCCAGAUAUUAAUGAUGUGUGUCUUCUGCUCCUGAGAAGUCAAUAGGAGACUUUAUAAUAGAUAGCCUCUGAACCUAGUUCCUGCUGCUCCAAUCCCCAGGUGAUCUACCUUGAUUGAACCCUGAUGACCAUAGGGGGGUUGUAAAUUCAGUCACUCAUUGUCCAGAACCUCUGAAUCAAGUAUCAACCUGUUGCAUUCCAUCCUUCUAGAUUACCUAGAGCUGGAUAUCCUGAAAGGAUGAAAGUUUUAUGAGUUGAUUGCAGUGCUUGUUGGAAAGGUAGGAGACCCUGGUGAUAAACCUACCAUAACUUUCAAAAGUCAGCAUUAUCCCCUGAGUGGCAGAGUUGCCUUGACUUUGUGUUUCUGGUGGAAAUGACAACCAAGGUGCCCCUACUGCCUUCUAAACCAUUGAAGAGAAACUAAGUGGCCCCUGAAACAGCCUGAGUGACUAGUGACUGCCCAAGGACUACUAAAACUUUCUUUACUCUGAGUUGUGAAGGCUUCCUGUGGUCUUUGGCUGGUGGAAUGAUAUCCGGACCUGAUAUGGACAGGGAUUCCUUGGGACAUCCUAGGGAAAUUGAGAUUGCCCUGGUGCCUCUAGCCUUAACUUUAGAACUAAUAGUCAUUUUUGCCAAGCUCUUUUGCUUCUCUCCCCAAAUUCUAAACCAGCCCUAGCCUAUUGGAGGAUAAUUCUGAAAUAAACCUGAAAAUAACUUCCCUAUCCAUCAAUGUUCCUGAAAUUUCAUGAGGAUUCUGAAGAGAAGAGGCAGGGGUUUGCCUAGGGGAAGGUAGAGAAACCAAGGUGAGGAGAAGGCUCAGAGGCAGUGUUGUCAGCAUGGGCACUCCAGAGACCUGCAGCAAAUAGGACUAAAGCACGGGCUCCAGGCACAAGCAGUGAUCUUAAGUGUUAAUUUGAGUCGUGCUUUUGAGAGGGAGAGACAGAAUCCAUCUCUUUCCCUCUUUUAACAUCAGUGCACUCAUUCAUAAACAUAUACAUUCUAUCUCACAACAUUCUUCACAUACUCCAAUAAGAAAAAGCAUGUUAAAGUGACAAAAAUAUUUUAAGAAGUUAUGUAAAUAUACUACUAAGGUAGAUUAUAGAUUAUAGUUCUAUCAUUUAUCAUGUUCUCAUGUGUUUAUUUGCUGAGAAGCUUUUAUAAACUUUCAGUUGUUUUUCCUCCCCCACCCCAUAUUUAUCAGCAUGCAUGUCUUACUGUCUUAUUUAAGUUUCAAAAUAUUAUUUCAAAGUUAAUAAGAUGUUUCGAAAAUCUAGCCACGUCCUUUAUUUGCUCAUAAUAUUUUGUCUGGAAAAGUUGUUCUUAAAAAACCUAAAGGUCCUAUUUAUAAAACUGUGAUAUGAUUAAGGCCAAUUGUAAACAAAUGUUUGCAGGCCAACAGAACAAUUAUGUCUUUCAAUACAGAUGACUUUCCCAGUGUGCCAUAAUAGUUUCUUAAAGCUGUUAUGAAUUAUUCCAUAAACCCAUAUUUAGAGACUUUUAAAAAUGCAGAUUAUUGGCCUGAGCAACCAUUUUGUCUCCAAAGGAACAUUUGCAGGCUGUCGUGCAAAUCUGCAUUUGAGCUACUUUCACAUUAUGAUCUUAGUGAAUUCUUGACCAGAUGGACUUGAACAGCUGCCACCCAUGCCUGGACCACACAAUAUUUAUACGGUUUAAAUUCUGGCCCAUCUACUGGCACAGACUGUUCACUUCUGUUACUGUCAUGGCAAGUGAUGCAGGAAGAGAAACAUUGCUGAUCUGUGAAAUUGGACAAUACAUUAAAUCUGUCUUGGUAUUUAAGCCACAUCCACAGCAUGGGCCCUCUUCCGAAAGUGCGUACAGAAAAGUGAUGGUGUCCACUGUGGCCUACAGCAUUAUCUUCCUUUCUCCUCCUUCCUGGAAAGUAUUAUAUUUUUUCCUCCCUCCAGGAUUUUAUAAUUACCAUGGGGGAAAGAAAAAAAAAAUGAUGCUAAGUUUGCUGAAUGCAAAUUUUUCAAAACUUCACAGGUAAACGUUGCCAGAAAAACAUUUUUUUUCCCAAAAUGGCUCUUACCACUGCUCCAAUGAACGAAUUAGCUAAAGACUUGCUGUCAGAUAUGAAAUUAUGCUCUUCUCACACCACCUUUCUCUCUGUGAUUAAAAUUUAUAAUCAUUGUAUCUUAAUUUAGUUUUUAUUACCUACUCUCUAGAAGGUAUAUUUAAGCUGAUGUGAAUUUUCUUUCCCUACCCCAUUUCCCUCUUUAGAUCUUUAAACUGUUUUCAUUUACUGAAACAAGUUUAAAAGUCUAACACAUGAGGGAAGAUUAAGGGAAUGUAAUAGAGUCAUCAUCCGAUCACAGCCCAACACUCAUUUAUUGAGUGCUUACUAAGUACCAAGCAUGGUUUUAAGUGCUUGGCAUCCUUUCCUUCAUUUCUCAUAUCUGUCUCUGAGCUAGGGAUGAUGAGAUGCCCAUUUUGCUG